Molecule: ribosomal RNA, 474 nt
Filed under: uncultured organism
Description: partial 16S ribosomal RNA
Rfam family: Bacterial small subunit ribosomal RNA
Source: RNAcentral
CACUCCUGCGGGAGGCAGCAGUGGGGAAUAUUGCACAAUGGGCGCAAGCCUGAUGCAGCCAUGCCGCGUGUAUGAAGAAGGCCUUCGGGUUGUAAAGUACUUUCAGCGGGGAGGAAGGCAAUACGGUUAAUAACCGUGUUGAUUGACGUUACCCGCAGAAGAAGCACCGGCUAACUCCGUGCCAGCAGCCGCGGUAAUACGGAGGGUGCAAGCGUUAAUCGGAAUUACUGGGCGUAAAGCGCACGCAGGCGGUCUGUCAAGUCGGAUGUGAAAUCCCCGGGCUCAACCUGGGAACUGCAUUCGAAACUGGCAGGCUUGAGUCUUGUAGAGGGGGGUAGAAUUCCAGGUGUAGCGGUGAAAUGCGUAGAGAUCUGGAGGAAUACCGGUGGCGAAGGCGGCCCCCUGGACAAAGACUGACGCUCAGGUGCGAAAGCGUGGGGAGCAAACAGGAUUAGAUACCCUAGUAGUCCCAUG